RNAcentral lists this ribosomal RNA (253 nucleotides) under uncultured bacterium. RNAcentral's name for it is "partial 16S ribosomal RNA". It matches the Rfam family "Bacterial small subunit ribosomal RNA", at positions 524 to 776 of the family's 1533-position model. The record is from RNAcentral.
UACGUAGGGUGCAAGCGUUGUCCGGAAUUAUUGGGCGUAAAGAGCUCGUAGGCGGUCUGUCGCGUCGGCUGUGAAAACUUGGGGCUCAACCCCAAGCCUGCAGUCGAUACGGGCAGACUAGAGUGUGGUAGGGGAGACUGGAAUUCCUGGUGUAGCGGUGAAAUGCGCAGAUAUCAGGAGGAACACCGGUGGCGAAGGCGGGUCUCUGGGCCAUAACUGACGCUGAGAAGCGAAAGCAUGGGGAGCGAACAGG